GCUAAAAUAGCUCAUUUGGGAGAUUGUUAGACUGAAGAUCUAAAGGUCCCUGGUUCGAUCCCGGGUUUCGGCA
This is a non-coding RNA of Bombina bombina (fire-bellied toad), 73 nucleotides long. The record is from the annotation of a RefSeq genome assembly. NCBI's taxonomy places the organism in Eukaryota, Metazoa, Chordata, Amphibia, Anura, Bombinatoridae.